Molecule: transfer RNA, 72 nt
Filed under: Candidatus Moraniibacteriota bacterium
Lineage: Bacteria; Candidatus Moraniibacteriota
Description: tRNA-Cys
Rfam family: tRNA
About the family: Transfer RNA (tRNA) molecules are approximately 80 nucleotides in length.
Source: RNAcentral
GGCCAGAUGCCCGAGCGGAUAGGGGAAGGUCUGCAAAACCUUUUUACGGGGGUUCGAAUCCCCCUCUGGCCU